UACGAAGGGUGCAAGCGUUAAUCGGAAUUACUGGGCGUAAAGCGUGCGUAGGCGGUGAGUUAAGUCUGUCGUGAAAGCCCUGGGCUCAACCUGGGAAUGCCGAUGGAAACUGGCUCGCUAGAGUGUGAUAGAGGAUGGCGGAAUUCCCGGUGUAGCGGUGAAAUGCGUAGAGAUCGGGAGGAACAUCCGUGGCGAAGGCGGCCAUCUGGAUCAACACUGACGCUGAGGCACGAAAGCGUGGGGAGCAAACAGG
This 253-nucleotide ribosomal RNA is filed under the name uncultured bacterium. RNAcentral's name for it is "partial 16S ribosomal RNA". It matches the Rfam family "Bacterial small subunit ribosomal RNA", at positions 524 to 776 of the family's 1533-position model. The record is from RNAcentral.